Molecule: long non-coding RNA, 895 nt
Organism: Xenopus tropicalis (tropical clawed frog)
Lineage: Eukaryota; Metazoa; Chordata; Amphibia; Anura; Pipidae
Exons: 3
Source: RefSeq, a predicted model, not a curated record
GCCAGUCAAUUGUUUUUUCUGCUGGACUGUGCUGGGAGUGCUGACUCUCUGGGCUGUGCACCGAAUAAGAAUUGCUGGAGGAGGAAAGGGUGUGCUGGGUGAACUUUCCUUGUUGUAAGUGGCAUGGGUGCAAUUGAUUGCACCCGUGCGGCGUUAAACCCCCCCCAUGACAGGAAGCACAUUUUCUGCAACAGGAAGAGCUACCACUCCCUCGAUGUACAAGUGGUGUGCACAAAUGAAUAUUCUCAGCAUCGUGUCUGGCUUCCUCGGCUCCUCUCACUAUGCUUACAUCUAAAGGCAGUCCAGGAUUUAUGAUGCUUUUGAAACCGGACAAAUGCCUCAUGGGUGGCUGUUAAGAGAUGCUGGUUACCCGUGCUCUAGGUGGCUCAUCACCCCCAUUCACAGGCCGCGUACGCGGGCUGAGUGUGCUUUUAACGAAGCACAUGUCAGAACGCGGUCUAUGAUUGAGCGGACAUUUGGGGUCCUUAAAAGCCGCUUCCACUGCCUGGAUAAGUCGGGAGGCAGCUUAAUGUACAGCCCGUAUAAAGUUUCCCAAAUUGUGGCUGUGUGUGCUGUACUGCACAAUCUUGCUAACGGGCAUGGCUUACCUGGCAAUGUGGCUGAGGACCUGGAUGACCCCAUACAUCCCCAAGAUCCUGUCUGAGGUGCGGAUGCCAGAGGGAAUCAAGUCCGGGCACAAAUCGUUACCAAUUACUUUUCCUGAUGGCAUUGUGGGGAGUGGAGCAGAUUAGAGGAGGACUGUCCAGCAGAGCGUCUGUGGCCACCUUUUUGAAAAAUGUUUAAAUGUUUGUAAUGAUGUUCAUGAUGCCAGGCAAACUUCAUGGACAAUGUUUCUCAUUUGUUUUACAACAUGACAAAGUUAAUUUUGCAAAAA